CAAGUAGGGCGGGACACGUGAAAUCCUGUCUGAAGAUGGGGGGACCAUCCUCCAAGGCUAAAUACUCGUGAUCGACCGAUAGUGAACCAGUACCGUGAGGGAAAGGCGAAAAGAACCCCGGGAGGGGAGUGAAAUAGAUCCUGAAACCGCAUGCAUACAAACAGUCGGAGCCUCGAAAGGGGUGACGGCGUACCUUUUGUAUAAUGGGUCAGCGACUUACGUUCAGUAGCAAGCUUAACCGUAUAGGGCAGGCGUAGCGAAAGCGAGUCCGAAUAGGGCGUUCAGUUGCUGGGCGUAGACCCGAAACCAAGUGAUCUAUCCAUGGCCAGGAUGAAGGUGCGGUAACACGUACUGGAGGUCCGAACCCACUAACGUUGAAAAGUUAGGGGAUGAGCUGUGGAUAGGGGUGAAAGGCUAAACAAACUUGGAAAUAGCUGGUUCUCUCCGAAAACUAUUUAGGUAGUGCCUCGUGUCUCACCUUCGGGGGUAGAGCACUGUCAUGGUUGGGGGGUCUAUUGCAGAUUACCCCGCCAUAGCAAACUCCGAAUACCGAAGAGUGCAAUCACGGGAGACAGACAUCGGGUGCUAACGUCCGGUGUCAAGAGGGAAACAACCCAGACCGCCAGCUAAGGUCCCCAAAUAUAGCUAAGUGGGAAACGAAGUGGGAAGGCUAAAACAGUCAGGAGGUUGGCUUAGAAGCAGCCACCCUUUAAAGAAAGCGUAAUAGCUCACUGAUCGAGUCGUCCUGCGCGGAAGAUGUAACGGGGCUAAGCUAUAUACCGAAGCUGCGGAUGCGUGCUUUGCACGCAUGGUAGGAGAGCGUUCUGUAAGCCUGCGAAGGUGUCUCGGAAGGGAUGCUGGAGGUAUCAGAAGUGCGAAUGCUGACAUGAGUAGCGAUAAAGGGGGUGAAAGGCCCCCUCGCCGUAAGCCCAAGGUUUCCUACGCAACGUUCAUCGGCGUAGGGUGAGUCGGCCCCUAAGGCGAGGCAGAAAUGCGUAGCUGAUGGGAAGCAGGUCAAUAUUCCUGCACCAUUGUUAGAUGCGAUGGGGGGACGGAUCGCGGAAGGUUGUCCGGGUGUUGGAAGUCCCGGUCGCUGCAUUGGAGAAGGCGCUUAGGCAAAUCCGGGCGCGGAAUUCAAGGGUGUGGCGCGAGCUCCUUAGGGAGCGAAGCAAUUGGAAGUGGUUCCAAGAAAAGCCUCUAAGCUUC
RNAcentral lists this ribosomal RNA (1206 nucleotides) under Burkholderia lata. Its description in RNAcentral is "23S ribosomal RNA (partial)". It matches the Rfam family "Bacterial large subunit ribosomal RNA", at positions 409 to 1629 of the family's 2925-position model. Lineage: Bacteria; Pseudomonadati; Pseudomonadota; Betaproteobacteria; Burkholderiales; Burkholderiaceae. The record is from RNAcentral.